CAGUCUGUAAACGGUUUAAACUGCUUGCAAUGCACAGGGCAUUUAAACUCCAGUAUGUAAAAUCAAUCGGGUAUCACAUGCGUUAUACCACAGGCUUCCCCAGUCCACACAAACAAACACUCCCGCGACACACCGGAAAUGGAUGAGGUCACCAGUGACGAUGAGACGCACCGUACUACCAUACCUAAGGCUAUCUUUAUAGGCCACGUAAAAUAAGGCACACCCCAGAGAGAGAUUAUCAUUGGCUACAGCAAGAUUGUUUUUGUUGUUUUGCCUCAAUGAUUUUUCCUGUAUUGUCUACAUUUUACAUGGUGAUGGAUUCCUCAUAUGAUUACAUAGUUGUGAGUACUUGUUUACAAUAAUGUUGAGUCUUGUGUGAUUUAAAUAUUCAAACUUGCAUGUUAUGAGUAGCUGGACAUGCCAGAACUGUAGAAAUGGUAGUGUGUGAUGUUAAUGGAGAACUAUGGGCUGGAUAGCCACGGAAAGGUUUUUGCACACUUCACUGAGGAGUCUAAAGGUGCACUAAGGGGUGACUGGCAGUCUGUUUUGGUAAAGGAAGAUAGAGGACACCUUUCAGGAGGAGCCACAACAUUGGGUUCAAGAAUCAUCAUCACAGGCAGAUGAUGCAAGUAUAAAUGUGUUGGAGGAUGUACUGCUUGAAUCAUCACUUGAAAGAGGUACACUGUUUUGUUACGGGACUUGCAACAAAGGCAAAAGAGUUUUAAAGGAAGCCAGCAGCAAGCGGUGUUUGGAGCAGUCAAGUGUGCUGCUUGGUUCUGUUCAGCUGCCCAAAGUACUCUAUAUGGAGGAUGAAGAUGUUGAUGAGGACUUGGACAAAUUACAGAAGGCUGAAUUUUCGGAGGACAGAAUGGUUGCUCUGGAAACUUUCAGCUUUUUCUUCAUUGAGAUGAAGGACGUGAACUUGUUCCUUAAAUGAAAGGGAUUACUGAUAUAGAUAUCGUACCUCAAAGUGAUGAUAUCACAGACCAUUUCCUUGUAUCGUGCAGUCUGUGUAUCACUGAUAUUAACUA
Molecule: long non-coding RNA, 1031 nt
Organism: Carassius auratus (goldfish)
Lineage: Eukaryota; Metazoa; Chordata; Actinopteri; Cypriniformes; Cyprinidae
Exons: 5
Source: RefSeq, a predicted model, not a curated record